GCGCAGCAGGCGCGAAUCCUUCGCAAUGCAGGAAACUGCGACGAGGGAACUCCAAGUGCCUACGCUCAGCGUAGGCUGUUCUCAAGCCUAGAAAGCUUGGGGAGUAAGGGCUGGGUAAGACGGGUGCCAUCUGUGGUAGCAGUCAAUAGAUUCGAUUUGUUACUGCAAGGCAUAAGCCGCCGCGGUAAUACCCGCAGCCCAAGUGGUGGCCGCUUUUAUUGGGCCUAAAGCGUCCGUAGCCGGCCCGGUAAAUGCCUGGGUAAAUCGUGGAGCCCAACUUCACGAAUUCCGGGUAGACUGCCGAGCUCGGGACCGGAAGAGGGAGAGGGUACUUCGAGGGGGUAGGGGUGAAAAUUUCCGUUUCCAUUAACGCUUUUGCGCGAAGCGGAAAGGGUUAUCACAAUUCUGUAAUCCCUGGAGGACCACCCGUGGCGAAGGCG
This 440-nucleotide ribosomal RNA is filed under the name uncultured microorganism. RNAcentral's name for it is "bacterial SSU rRNA". It matches the Rfam family "Archaeal small subunit ribosomal RNA", at positions 330 to 674 of the family's 1478-position model. The record is from RNAcentral.